RNAcentral lists this ribosomal RNA (495 nucleotides) under uncultured bacterium. RNAcentral describes it as "partial 16S ribosomal RNA". It matches the Rfam family "Bacterial small subunit ribosomal RNA", at positions 28 to 507 of the family's 1533-position model. The record is from RNAcentral.
GAUGAACGCUGGCGGCGUGCCUAAUACAUGCAAGUAGAACGCUGAAGGAGGAGCUUGCUCUUCUGGAUGAGUUGCGAACGGGUGAGUAACGCGUAGGUAACCUGCCUGGUAGCGGGGGAUAACUAUUGGAAACGAUAGCUAAUACCGCAUGACAACAGUUAUUGCAUGAUAACUGUUUAAAAGGGGCAACUGCUCCACUACCAGAUGGACCUGCGUUGUAUUAGCUAGUUGGUGAGGUAACGGCUCACCAAGGCGACGAUACAUAGCCGACCUGAGAGGGUGAUCGGCCACGCUGGGACUGAGACACGGCCCAGACUCCUGCGGGAGGCAGCAGUAGGGAAUCUUCGGCAAUGGACGGAAGUCUGACCGAGCAACGCCGCGUGAGUGAAGAAGGUUUUCGGAUCGUAAAGCUCUGUUGUAAGAGAAGAACGAGUGUGAGAGUGGAAAGUUCACACUGUGACGGUAGCUUACCAGAAAGGGACGGCUAACUACGUG